CCUUCUUUUUCCCGCUUUUUCCGGAAUUAUUGGGCGUAAAGCGCGCGCAGGCGGUUUUGUAAGACAGAGGUGAAAUCCCCGGGCUCAACCUGGGAACUGCCUUUGUGACUGCAAGGCUGGAGUGCGGCAGAGGGGGAUGGAAUUCCGCGUGUAGCAGUGAAAUGCGUAGAUAUGCGGAAGAACACCGAUGGCGAAGGCAAUCCCCUGGGCCUGCACUGACGCUCAUGCACGAAAGCGUGGGGAGCAACCAGGA
Molecule: ribosomal RNA, 253 nt
Filed under: uncultured prokaryote
Description: partial 16S ribosomal RNA
Rfam family: Bacterial small subunit ribosomal RNA
Source: RNAcentral